CCUGAUCCCAUCUCGAACUCAGAAGUGAAACGAGCAUGCGCCAAUGAUAGUGUGAGGUCUCCUC
This 64-nucleotide ribosomal RNA is filed under the name Legionella wadsworthii. Lineage: Bacteria; Pseudomonadati; Pseudomonadota; Gammaproteobacteria; Legionellales; Legionellaceae. The record is from RNAcentral.